This 960-nucleotide ribosomal RNA is filed under the name uncultured Flavobacterium sp. RNAcentral's name for it is "bacterial SSU rRNA". It matches the Rfam family "Bacterial small subunit ribosomal RNA", at positions 100 to 1062 of the family's 1533-position model. Lineage: Bacteria; Pseudomonadati; Bacteroidota; Flavobacteriia; Flavobacteriales; Flavobacteriaceae. The record is from RNAcentral.
CACGGGUGCGUAACGCGUAUGCAAUCUACCUUAUACAGGGGAAUAGCCCAGAGAAAUUUGGAUUAAUACCAUAUAAUAUAUUUGAAUGGCAUCGUUUGAAUAUUAAAGAUUUAUCGGUAAAAGAUGAGCAUGCGUCCCAUUAGUUAGUUGGUGUGGCAACGGCAUACCAAGACGAUGAUGGGUAGGGGUCCUGAGAGGGAGAUCCCCCACACUGGUACUGAGACACGGACCAGACUCCUACGGGAGGCAGCAGUGAGGAAUAUUGGUCAAUGGAGGCAACUCUGAACCAGCCAUGCCGCGUGCAGGAUGACGGUCCUAUGGAUUGUAAACUGCUUUUGUACGGGAAGAAAACAAACUACGAGUAGUUAAUUGACGGUACCGUAAGAAUAAGGAUCGGCUAACUCCGUGCCAGCAGCCGCGGUAAUACGGAGGAUCCAAGCGUUAUCCGGAAUCAUUGGGUUUAAAGGGUCCGUAGGCGGCCUUAUAAGUCAGUGCUGAAAGUUUUUGGCUUAACCAAAAAAUUGCCAUUGAUACUGUAGGGCUUGAAUAUCUGUGAAGUAACUAGAAUAUGUAGUGUAGCGGUGAAAUGCUUAGAUAUUACAUGGAAUACCGAUUGCGAAGGCAGGUUACUAACAGAUGAUUGACGCUGAUGGACGAAAGCGUGGGUAGCGAACAGGAUUAGAUACCCUGGUAGUCCACGCCGUAAACGAUGGAUACUAGCUGUUUGGUUUUCGGACUGAGUGGCUAAGCGAAAGUGAUAAGUAUCCCACCUGGGGAGUACGGUCGCAAGACUGAAACUCAAAGGAAUUGACGGGGGCCCGCACAAGCGGUGGAGCAUGUGGUUUAAUUCGAAGCAACGCGCAGAACCUUACCUGGGUUUGAACUUCUGCUGAAAGUCUCAGAGAUGAGAUCCCCUCUUCGGAGCAGCAUGAGAGGUGCUGCAUGGCUGUCGUCAGCUCG